This 393-nucleotide ribosomal RNA is filed under the name uncultured bacterium. RNAcentral describes it as "partial 16S ribosomal RNA". It matches the Rfam family "Bacterial small subunit ribosomal RNA", at positions 523 to 918 of the family's 1533-position model. The record is from RNAcentral.
AUACGGAGGAUCCGAGCGUUAUCCGGAUUUAUUGGGUUUAAAGGGAGCGUAGGUGGACAGUUAAGUCAGUUGUGAAAGUUUGCGGCUCAACCGUAAAAUUGCAGUUGAUACUGGCUGUCUUGAGUACAGUAGAGGUGGGCGGAAUUCGUGGCGUAGCGGUGAAAUGCUUAGAUAUCACGAAGAACUCCGAUUGCGAAGGCAGCUCACUGGACUGCAACUGACACUGAUGCUCGAAAGUGUGGGUAUCAAACAGGAUUAGAUACCCUGGUAGUCCACACAGUAAACGAUGAAUACUCGCUGUUUGCGAUAUACAGUAAGCGGCCAAGCGAAAGCAUUAAGUAUUCCACCUGGGGAGUACGCCGGCAACGGUGAAACUCAAAGGAAUUGACGGGG